This 974-nucleotide ribosomal RNA is filed under the name human gut metagenome. RNAcentral's name for it is "bacterial LSU rRNA". It matches the Rfam family "Bacterial large subunit ribosomal RNA", at positions 1950 to 2925 of the family's 2925-position model. The record is from RNAcentral.
CCUAAGGUAGCGAAAUUCCUUGUCAGGUAAGUUCUGACCCGCACGAAAGGCGUAACGAUUUGGGCGCUGUCUCGGCAGCAGACUCGGUGAAAUCUUAGUACCUGUGAAAAUGCAGGUUACCCGCAACUAGACGGAAAGACCCCAUGGAGCUUUACUGCAGCCUGAUAUUGAAUUUUGAUGAAGCAUGUACAGGAUAGGUGGGAGGCGAAGAGACGUGCACGCCAGUGUACGAGGAGCCGACGUUGGGAUACCACUCUUGUUUGAUCGAGGUUCUAACCUGGUGCCUGAGACGGGCAUGGGGAGAGUGUCAGGUGGGCAGUUUGACUGGGGCGGUCGCCUCCCAAAGAGUAACGGAGGCGCCCAAAGGUACGCUCAGAUUGGAUGGAAAUCAAUCGACGAGUGCAAAUGCAGAAGCGUGCUUGACUGUGAGAGCAACAACUCGAACAGGGACGAAAGUCGGGAUUAGUGAUCCGGCGGUGCCGAAUGGAAGGGCCGUCGCUCAACGGAUAAAAGCUACCCUGGGGAUAACAGGCUGAUCUCGCCCAAGAGUUCACAUCGACGGCGAGGUUUGGCACCUCGAUGUCGGCUCAUCGCAUCCUGGAGCUGAAGUCGGUUCCAAGGGUUGGGCUGUUCGCCCAUUAAAGCGGUACGCGAGCUGGGUUCAGAACGUCGUGAGACAGUUCGGUCCCUAUCUGUUGUGGGCGUAGGAGAUUUGAGGAGAGCUGUCCUUAGUACGAGAGGACCGGGAUGGACCUGCCGCUGGUGUACCGGUUGUUCCGCCAGGAGCACGGCCGGGUAGCUAAGCAGGGAAGGGAUAAGCGCUGAAAGCAUCUAAGCGCGAAGCCUACUCCAAGAUGAGAUCUCCCAUACGAAAGUAGUAAGACCCCUUGAAGACGACGAGGUUGAUAGGUCAGGGAUGGAAGCGUAGCGAUACGUGGAGUUGACUGAUACUAAUCGGUCGAGGACUUGAUCUG